AAAUGGCGUUUUCUUUGUUGUCGUAUGAACUUGUUUUUUGUUUUCUACGUUAAUAAAGUGCUACUACAUAGUAAAUUGGAUUGUAAAAUGGUGAACAAUAUAAUUAUGUGCUGUGAGUGGGUGUGGGAAAGAAUCGUAUCCUGGCGGUGGAUUAUCUUUUCUCAGUUUGCUAUCGGAUUCAGAGUUGAGGAAAAAAUGGUUUGAGGUGAUACCUGGGAACUUACAUAAAAGUUCUGUGGUUUGCACACUUCAUUUCAAACCUGAAGAUUAUCGAACAUAGUCUCGGAAAAGGUUAAAACCUGGAGUGAUUGCGACCCUGAUUGUUCCGCCACAUCCAGUGAAUUCUUUCAAUUGUGAAAACAGACAUGAAAUUAUUCUUUUAAAAUUCAUUGCUAACAAAUAUCUCACAUUGAGACUGUCAACUUUUGGCAAAGAUCAAACAUUGAAGGCCAUAGGCGCAUCUCGCGCUACUUUGCGCCAUAAAUUGCACAAAACAAUUUUGUUCAGUAAUGUGUAAUUUUAAAAUGUCUACAUAAAUAAUAAAUAUACCAUUUACUAUAA
This is a long non-coding RNA of Helicoverpa zea (corn earworm), 561 nucleotides long. RefSeq lists it as uncharacterized. The record is from RefSeq and is a predicted model, not a curated record. The transcript is spliced from 2 exons. NCBI's taxonomy places the organism in Eukaryota, Metazoa, Arthropoda, Insecta, Lepidoptera, Noctuidae.